GACGAACGCUGGCGGCGUGCUUAACACAUGCAAGUCGAACGGAAAGGCCCUUCGGGGUACUCGAGUGGCGAACGGGUGAGUAACACGUGGGUGAUCUGCCCUGCACUUUGGGAUAAGCCUGGGAAACUGGGUCUAAUACCGGACAGGACCCCGGCAUUCCUGUGCUGUGGUGGAAAGCUUUUGCGGUGUGGGAUGGGCCCGCGGCCUAUCAGCUUGUUGGUGGGGUAAUGGCCUACCAAGGCGACGACGGGUAGCCGGCCUGAGAGGGUGACCGGCCACACUGGGACUGAGAGACGGCCCAGACGCCUACGGGAGGCAGCAGUGGGGAAUAUGACACAAUGGGCGCAAGCCUGAUGCAGCGACGCCGCGGUAGGGAUGACGGCCUUCGGGGUGUAAACCUCUGUCGCCAGGGACGAAGCGCAAGUGACGGUACCUGGAGAAGAAGGACCGGCCAACUACGUG
This 462-nucleotide ribosomal RNA is filed under the name uncultured bacterium. RNAcentral's name for it is "partial 16S ribosomal RNA". It matches the Rfam family "Bacterial small subunit ribosomal RNA", at positions 28 to 507 of the family's 1533-position model. The record is from RNAcentral.